Molecule: ribosomal RNA, 495 nt
Filed under: uncultured bacterium
Lineage: Bacteria
Description: partial 16S ribosomal RNA
Rfam family: Bacterial small subunit ribosomal RNA
Source: RNAcentral
GACGAACGCUGGCGGCGUGCCUAAUACAUGCAAGUAGAACGCUGAAGGAGGAGCUUGCUUCUCUGGAUGAGUUGCGAACGGGUGAGUAACGCGUAGGUAUCCUGCCUGGUAGCGGGGGAUAACUAUUGGAAACGAUAGCUAAUACCGCAUAAUAGCAGUUGUUGCAUGACAACUGUUUGAAAGGUGCAAUUGCACCACUACCAGAUGGACCUGCGUUGUAUUAGCUAGUUGGUGGGGUAACGGCUCACCAAGGCGACGAUACAUAGCCGACCUGAGAGGGGGAUCGGCCACACUGGGACUGAGACACGGCCCAGACUCCUACGGGAGGCAGCAGUAGGGAAUCUUCGGCAAGGGACGGAAGGCUGACCGAGCAACGCCGCGUGAGUGAAGAAGGGUUUCGGAUCGUAAAGCUCUGUUGUAAGAGAAGAACGAGUGUGAGAGUGGAAAGUUCACACUGUGACGGUAUCUUACCAGAAAGGGACGGCUAACUACGUG